Harpegnathos saltator (Jerdon's jumping ant) is the source of this 440-nucleotide long non-coding RNA. RefSeq lists it as uncharacterized. NCBI's taxonomy places the organism in Eukaryota, Metazoa, Arthropoda, Insecta, Hymenoptera, Formicidae. The transcript has 2 exons. The record is from RefSeq and is a predicted model, not a curated record.
AUUCAAUGUAUUCACUACCACCGCUUUUGCGUAUAUCGCAAGAGGGCAGCUGCAAAAGAGACAUCUAUCAGCUAAGGUUAAUAAAACGGUAAUAGAUCGGUUCGGAGCAAGAUUUCACGACAAAAGACAAACAAUGUCGUUGGAAAGGAUUGGAAAAAUAAUCAAAGAUGUCUACAAUGAUCCAUUUAAGUGGUCAGCAGUAAAACACCUAGGAUUUUUCAUAAUAGGUGUUAAGAUAGCCCUCGAAUGUGAUGGAGUGACUCUUAUGACACCUAUUACUGUUUAAGUUUGCAUAGAGAAUCCAAAGAAUAUAUUUAAAUGCUACAAAUGUUUCCAUAUCUUACACACCAAUCACAUCACCACGACUGAUUUUGUCUAUAUAACUCUACUCAUGUCAUGUAUAACAAUGUAUAUUUUAUAAUUAAAACAAAGUUAUAGAA